CAGAUGAAGAAUAAAGACACAGAAAGACUAAGCAACUGGCCCUAGUAGUGCCUAGAGGUGUCAAGUGAGACUGGGCCCCAAGUACGCUAGGCAUUGUACAAAGGGAAUUGCACACAACACCGCCGUAUAAACCAAACCAACUAAUUUGACUCCUUGAGGCUAGAGCUCCAACAGAUUCCACUUCAAAUGUAUGCCUCAUUGACUUUUUACUGUUUUAGAUAUUGAUCUUAUUGAAUGCCAUCAGUUCAGACACUGCAACCUCAUUUGCAACCAGGACCAGGACUGUAGGUGAUCAGCUUUUUAAAAUGCUGGAGAAAUGGAGGUGAAAAAAUGAUUUACAUUGCUCUUCCUGGAUUUUUAUUACAGAAACAGAUGUUGGAGUUUUACUGGCUGAAAUAAUCAGCCCCAGAGCUGGUGGGUCAUCAGCCCUGCUUUCUCCACAAAGUGCCACAACUGUAAAACAAAAUGUACAUUCCAGAAAUUACAAGUUUGUCAGAUGUGCCAAAAACAGCAUCUAGAGAAUAAGGAAGAAGAAAGCAGAAAAUAGCAUGAUAGCUUUGCAUGAUGUUGCUUAAAUUAUUAUUUAGAGUAGAUUUUGUAAAUCAGUGGUUUCUUGACCUAAGAUGCUAGAGGCUGUUUUGCCUUUUGGGGGAGUGGGUGUUUGUUACCCAAUAUAAUACCCAAACGGGCAAGUACAUAAUAUAUAGUACUAAGUACCUUCAAAGCUCUUUACAAACGUUAAUCAGUCCUCACUCAGUGGUAUUUAAGUAUCUCCAGGUUACAUACAAGAAACGUGAGGCAUGGACGUUUGGGAGAGU
Molecule: long non-coding RNA, 818 nt
Organism: Mauremys reevesii (Reeves's turtle)
Lineage: Eukaryota; Metazoa; Chordata; Testudines; Geoemydidae
Exons: 3
Source: RefSeq, a predicted model, not a curated record